AUUGAACGCUGGCGGCAGGCCUAACACAUGCAAGUCGAGCGGAUGAAGGGAGCUUGCUCCUGGAUUCAGCGGCGGACGGGUGAGUAAUGCCUAGGAAUCUGCCUGGUAGUGGGGGAUAACGUCCGGAAACGGGAGCUAAUACCGCAUACGUCCUGAGGGAGAAAGUGGGGGAUCUUCGGACCUCACGCUAUCAGAUGAGCCUAGGUCGGAUUAGCUAGUUGGUGGGGUAAAGGCCUACCAAGGCGACGAUCCGUAACUGGUCUGAGAGGAUGAUCAGUCACACUGGAACUGAGACACGGUCCAGACUCCUACGGGAGGCAGCAGUGGGGAAUAUUGGACAAUGGGCGAAAGCCUGAUCCAGCCAUACCGCGUGUGUGAAGAAGGUCUUCGGAUUGUAAAGCACUUUAAGUUGGGAGGAAGGGCAGUAAGUUAAUACCUUGCUGUUUUGACGUUACCAACAGAAUAAGCACCGGCUAACUUUGUG
This 484-nucleotide ribosomal RNA is filed under the name uncultured bacterium. Its description in RNAcentral is "partial 16S ribosomal RNA". It matches the Rfam family "Bacterial small subunit ribosomal RNA", at positions 30 to 507 of the family's 1533-position model. The record is from RNAcentral.